Molecule: ribosomal RNA, 253 nt
Filed under: uncultured bacterium
Lineage: Bacteria
Description: partial 16S ribosomal RNA
Rfam family: Bacterial small subunit ribosomal RNA
Source: RNAcentral
UACGGAGGGUGCAAGCGUUAUCCGGAUUCACUGGGUUUAAAGGGUGCGUAGGCGGGUGUGUAAGUCCGUGGUGAAAUCUCCGAGCUUAACUCGGAAACUGCCAUGGGUACUGCAUGUCUUGAAUGUUGUGGAGGUGAGCGGAAUAUGUCAUGUAGCGGUGAAAUGCUUAGAUAUGACAUAGAACACCAAUUGCGAAGGCAGCUCGCUACACAAUGAUUGACGCUGAGGCACGAAAGCGUGGGGAUCAAACAGG